GUAGGUGAACCUGCGGAAGGAUCAUUAACACGUAUCCAACGUUAAACCCCCCUGUGAACUUUCAGCACUGCUCUUGCGUUUGUCUUCAUAUUGCCAUCCCUAGUAAAUCAUGGUCAACAGUUUGAUUUAGGGACUUCAGUGUGCUUGGCAGCUGUCAAUUGAGCGGUAGUGUAAGCGCCUCAGCUUCUCCCUUGGGUCCUCUGAAGAAUUGGAAAGUGUCAUCAGAGAUACCGAAGAGAAGGCCCUACGGCUUCGCUAGAGGACAUCACGUCCGGCGACUAGGUGCUCGGGUCUCCAUGCCCCCUUUAGAACCCCACAGUUUCGUAGCCAGGUCGCGCUAAACCGCUGCCUAAAAAAACCGAACAACUGUUAACAAUGGAUAUCUUGGUUCUC
This 393-nucleotide unclassified non-coding RNA is filed under the name rhizosphere metagenome. RNAcentral describes it as "partial ribosomal RNA internal transcribed spacer region". The record is from RNAcentral.